AGUGAACGCUGGCGGUAGGCCUAACACAUGCAAGUCGAACGGCAGCACAGUAAGAGCUUGCUCUUACGGGUGGCGAGUGGCGGACGGGUGAGGAAUACAUCGGAAUCUACUUUUUCGUGGGGGAGAACGUAGGGAAACUUACGCUAAUACCGCAUACGACCUACGGGGGAAAGCAGGGGAUCUUCGGACCUUGCGCGAUUGAAUGAGCCGAUGUCGGAUUAGCUAGUUGGCGGGGUAAAGGCCCACCAAGGCGACGAUCCGUAGCUGGUCUGAGAGGAUGAUCAGCCACACUGGAACUGAGACACGGUCCAGACUCCUACGGGAGGCAGCAGUGGGGAAUAUUGGACAAUGGGCGCAAGCCUGAUCCAGCCAUACCGCGUGGGUGAAGAAGGUCUUCGGGUUGUAAAGCCCUUUUGUUGGGAAAGAAAAGCAGCAGGUUAAUACCCCGCUGUUCUGACGGUACCCAAAGAAUAAGCACCGGCUAACUUCGUG
Molecule: ribosomal RNA, 492 nt
Filed under: uncultured bacterium
Lineage: Bacteria
Description: partial 16S ribosomal RNA
Rfam family: Bacterial small subunit ribosomal RNA
Source: RNAcentral